AGUAUAUAGCUUGACUCAAAAGACAACACAUGAUGACCACUUCUACAACUUGUGCAUGAUCAAUUGAGCACCAUAUUGAGGUUGAAGCAAUAAUGGAUGAGGAGCAUGAGCACAAGAUGGAGAGAGUUCAAAUGCAUAGUGUUUUAGAAUCAUGACCAUUGCCAUUUUUGCCUCUAACAUAGCAAAAUUUUGCCCAAUACAUAUUCUUGGACCCCAAUUAAAUGGAAAAAAUACAACUUGUCCUUUUGUUGCUUUUGAUAUUCCUUCACUAAAUCUCUCUGGCUUGAACUCCAUUGCAUCAUCUCCCCAUAUUUCAGUAUCAUGAUGCACUAACAUUGUUGCUAAUAUGAG
Molecule: long non-coding RNA, 351 nt
Organism: Solanum verrucosum
Lineage: Eukaryota; Viridiplantae; Streptophyta; Magnoliopsida; Solanales; Solanaceae
Exons: 2
Source: RefSeq, a predicted model, not a curated record